RNAcentral lists this long non-coding RNA (224 nucleotides) under Lathyrus oleraceus (garden pea). RNAcentral describes it as "Pisum sativum (pea) long non-coding RNA (PSAT_LNC041362)". Lineage: Eukaryota; Viridiplantae; Streptophyta; Magnoliopsida; Fabales; Fabaceae. The record is from RNAcentral.
AUAACACUAUCAAUCUUCUCAUUUCUUGAUAACAAUAUACAAAAUUUAGCAAAACAAGAACACUAAUAACACUAUCAAUCUUCUCAUUUCUUGAUAACAAUAUACAAAAUUUAGAAAAACAAGAACACUAAUAACACUAUCAAUCUUCUCAUUUCUUGAUAACAAUAUACAAAAUUUAGCAAAACAAGAACACUAAUAACACUAUCAAUCUUCUCAUUUCUUGA